Molecule: transfer RNA, 76 nt
Filed under: Ruminococcus bicirculans (ex Wegman et al. 2014)
Lineage: Bacteria; Bacillati; Bacillota; Clostridia; Eubacteriales; Oscillospiraceae
Description: tRNA-Lys
Rfam family: tRNA
About the family: Transfer RNA (tRNA) molecules are approximately 80 nucleotides in length. Their secondary structure includes four short double-helical elements and three loops (D, anti-codon, and T loops). Further hydrogen bonds mediate the characteristic L-shaped molecular structure. tRNAs have two regions of fundamental functional importance: the anti-codon, which is responsible for specific mRNA codon recognition, and the 3' end, to which the tRNAs corresponding amino acid is attached (by aminoacyl-tRNA synthetases). tRNAs cope with the degeneracy of the genetic code in two manners: having more than one tRNA (with a specific anti-codon) for a particular amino acid; and 'wobble' base-pairing, i.e. permitting non-standard base-pairing at the 3rd anti-codon position.
Source: RNAcentral
GUGCCAUUAGCUCAAUUGGUAGAGCAUUCGACUUUUAAUCGAAAGGUCUCGGGUUCAAAUCCCGAAUGGCGCACCA